Molecule: small RNA, 495 nt
Filed under: Caenorhabditis elegans
Lineage: Eukaryota; Metazoa; Nematoda; Chromadorea; Rhabditida; Rhabditidae
Description: Unclassified non-coding RNA T02G5.16
Source: RNAcentral
GAUACGCAUCUGUCGAAUACGUCAAAAAGAUGAUGCAUUACUCCAAACGUAAUGAGGACAAGAUACAAUUUGAGAUACAAUUUAUGUACGUGUAAGUUUAGAAUUUCAAAACGAUAAUGUUGACACUGCUUCCUGAGAGGCAACUUUCAAAAAAUUUAAUUUUUUUUGAUUAAUUUCUAAUUUCAGUUUGUUCUGUAUGAAAGGACUUGAUGAAACACAUGAAACACAAUGGCACAUGAUGUUGAAGUUGGUGAAGUUGCAGCACUUUGUUCCAGACCUAAUUCACAUUCAUCCUAAAAAGGGGUCACAAGUUUUCGGAUAGAAUUGGCAAUCAAAAGUCAUCGAACAACAAAAAAAAGUUGCUGAUAUUUCUACGUAUGUUAAAACACAAAUGAAUCAAAAAUUACUGUUUUUAGUCUAACGGCUUACAAGAACUCUUCCGAUGCAAACGUAUCUAGUCUACUGAGGGAGGACUCCGUGAAUCCUGCAAAGAAA